This 449-nucleotide ribosomal RNA is filed under the name uncultured prokaryote. RNAcentral describes it as "bacterial SSU rRNA". It matches the Rfam family "Bacterial small subunit ribosomal RNA", at positions 355 to 796 of the family's 1533-position model. The record is from RNAcentral.
UGGGGAAUAUUGGACAAUGGGCGCAAGCCUGAUCCAGCAAUGCCGCGUGUGUGAAGAAGGCCUGCGGGUUGUAAAGCACUUUCAGUAGGGAGGAAAAGUUGCAGGUUAAUACCCUGUAACCCUGACGUUACCUACAGAAGAAGCACCGGCUAACUCCGUGCCAGCAGCCGCGGUAAUACGGAGGGUGCGAGCGUUAAUCGGAAUUACUGGGCGUAAAGCGCGCGUAGGCGGCUAUGUCAGUCGGAUGUGAAAGCCCUGGGCUUAACCUGGGAAUUGCAUUCGAUACUGCAUGGCUAGAGUAUGGUAGAGGGUAGUGGAAUUCCUGGUGUAGCGGUGAAAUGCGUAGAGAUCAGGAGGAACAUCAGUGGCGAAGGCGGCUACCUGGACCAAUACUGACGCUGAGGUGCGAAAGCGUGGGGAGCAAACAGGAUUAGAUACCCCCGUAGUCC